This is a long non-coding RNA of Parus major (Great Tit), 1630 nucleotides long. NCBI's taxonomy places the organism in Eukaryota, Metazoa, Chordata, Aves, Passeriformes, Paridae. The record is from Ensembl.
ACUUUAAAUGGGAGGAUUUUUAAAUUUAUUUUUUAAAACUGUAUUUUAUUUCCUUGCAGAUCUUUUCUCUAGAAUUUGAGGGAAAAUGUCAGGAAUCACGUUGGUAGACGGACAGGGAAGAAUUUAGCCAUAGUAGAUUAUUUGUUUUUAUAAUGAACCAAAUAUGUGCAUUGCUGUGUUGUCUUUUAUUUUCUUUCUUUUUUUCUCCCCCUUUUGGGCUGUGCUUUCCGUGAGAUGUCUUGCUGAAAUCCAAGGUACAAUAUCGUGCAAAGAUUUCUCCAUCUGAGAUUUUCUGUUUAGCGUGGAAGGUUCCGAUUUUGGUAUUUUUAAGAACUGCUCAGCUGUCAAAAGCAAACAAAACGGGAAUAAUGUUUUGACAGCGGUAUAGUGUUAAAGAAAAUACUCGAGUCUGAAUAAAAAUUGCUUAUGCUGUGGGAAACGAAGGGUAACAGAAGAAACACCUUUUGUUUACAUACACACAUGUUUAUAAUCCCAAAUUUCCAUUUCGCCGAGCGGGUCUGCGUUGGGAGUUGUAGUCACCAUAAAUGAGGGAUUUUUCUUCCAGAUUUUGCUGCCUUUAAGGCGAAGAGAGGAGGGGAGCGCACCUCCGGCAGCGCUGCCGCCCGAGCCCUGCCCGUCGCGGCGAGCGGGCACCGCAGGGCCGAAGAGGAGAUGCCGGGGGGAGCCGGCGCUCCCCACCUUUCACUCAUAGCCGCAGAGAGAGCGAGGGAGAGAAAAUUGCCCCAGACCAGGCAGCAAAAUGCUAGGUUUAGAAGACUGCGAGCCAGUUUCCUGAAUACUACUAUAAUUAAUUUGCGUGCGGAGAUCAAAGAUCCGAGGGCGAAGGAAAUAAUCGAUUCUGCCAGAAAACGCUUCCCCGGCGCAGCCCGCGGACAGCCGCCACCCACGGCAGAUUUUCCUUCAUUCUGUUUAAGGGAAGCUUGGAGCUGCUCUUUAUAGAAGAAUAUUCCAUCAGUCAGGUAGGUCUUGUACUUUGACAGCACUAUUUCAGCAUAUUACUUUUAAUGUAUGGCACUUAAACAUGUACAGAGAAUCCAUGUAACUUGCUUCUGGGCUUUUGGAUAGAAAUUAAAUUGAUGUGACCUAAUAUGUAAGAAAAUAAGAGGCCAUAUGUUUUUCGAUACUAGUGCCAAAAGAAGCACUUGUCAAUUAUUUUCCCCUUUUGAUUAUUAAUUAGGGCCUCAAUCCUGCCCUUUGAUUUGCAGAAGUAAAACACAGGUGAGAAGCAACUCUGCCUGUCCCUUUGCCAGAGAAGACAACUUUGCCUUGUCAACAGAGUGACUGUUGACAGGGGAAGAGCUCAGUCACACAGAGCUCACUGUAAGGCAGCAACAUAAAAUUCCGAACAUUACUUCGGCUGCUCUUACCAGAGACCACAGCCUGGUUUCUGGGGCAGAAGAGCCAUUUUCACAGCCUCCUCCCUCUUGUCUGUCUGUAGCAGAACUGCUGUGCCUCAGCAGGGAAAGCUGGGCAAGGACUUGGCACCUUCUCUGCAUGAUGGUGACAUCUCGUUGGUAGGACAGCGUAGGAAAAACCACAUUCUUGCUAUUGGUGCUACUUCUCUUCUGAAGGUGCGAGGCUGCCCAUCUGCUGCUCCUUCCAGGGAUCA